RNAcentral lists this ribosomal RNA (549 nucleotides) under Fusarium incarnatum. RNAcentral's name for it is "eukaryotic LSU rRNA". The stretch from base 179 to 332 matches the Rfam family "5.8S ribosomal RNA". The record is from RNAcentral. Lineage: Eukaryota; Fungi; Ascomycota; Sordariomycetes; Hypocreales; Nectriaceae.
CGUAGGGUGAACCUGCGGAGGGAUCAUUACCGAGUUUACAACUCCCAAACCCCUGUGAACAUACCUAUACGUUGCCUCGGCGGAUCAGCCCGCGCCCCGUAAAACGGGACGGCCCGCCCGAGGACCCUUAAACUCUGUUUUUAGUGGAACUUCUGAGUAAAACAAACAAAUAAAUCAAAACUUUCAACAACGGAUCUCUUGGUUCUGGCAUCGAUGAAGAACGCAGCAAAAUGCGAUAAGUAAUGUGAAUUGCAGAAUUCAGUGAAUCAUCGAAUCUUUGAACGCACAUUGCGCCCGCCAGUAUUCUGGCGGGCAUGCCUGUUCGAGCGUCAUUUCAACCCUCAAGCUCAGCUUGGUGUUGGGACUCGCGGUAACCCGCGUUCCCCAAAUCGAUUGGCGGUCACGUCGAGCUUCCAUAGCGUAGUAAUCAUACACCUCGUUACUGGUAAUCGUCGCGGCCACGCCGUAAAACCCCAACUUCUGAAUGUUGACCUCGGAUCAGGUAGGAAUACCCGCUGAACUUAAGCAUAUCAAUAAGCGGAGGAAUUC